This 2425-nucleotide long non-coding RNA is filed under the name Bemisia tabaci. RNAcentral's name for it is "lncRNA ENSSSA2NGG010111". Lineage: Eukaryota; Metazoa; Arthropoda; Insecta; Hemiptera; Aleyrodidae. The record is from RNAcentral.
GAUUUGGUAGUCAAAUAUUAAGUAUAAUUGCAUCACUCCUCAAUUUACUUUUGCGAUUUUUUACCAUCAUCUCCCUGAGCAAACUCCUGCAGCAACGCAAUGGAACUAUUCCACCAUUUUUAAGCAGUAUUUUAGGGGUAGGGACUUCCAGACACCCUGACUCAACUGUUGAAGCUUAAUUCUGUCAAUUUUCAAACGUUACAAUUUUUUUCCGAUGACAGCAAAGACCACUUUCUAAACCGAAGUAUAAAUUUUUAUGACUUUAAGUUAGGCACAGAAAGGAGCUGCAGUAGAUGGUGAAGAACGCUCAUAUGAAGAUAUCGAUCGCACAACAAUCCACCAAAGUGUGCCACAAACUGAAGUUGGUUUGGAUGCAAAACUUUCCUGUAAACAACACUCAAAAAUCCCACCAAAAACCUCCCAAUGCAAAUUUACUCCUGAUAAAAAUUCCAAAGAGACCAGUGAAGACGAAGUUCCAAAUUCUUCAAAAACUCUUUCACACACGCCUUCAAAAACCUCCCAAUGUAAAUCUAAUUACGGUCAGUGCCUUGCCAAGACUUAUGAAGAUGAACUUGUAGAACCUUCAGAAAUCGCUUCGAGAACCUCCUCUAAAGCCUCGGUGUGCGAAGUCAUCACUCCUGAUCAAUAUCCUGAGGAGGCCCCUGAAGACAAAAUGUGCAAUCCUCAAAAACCUUUCAAUGCAAACGAACUCCCGAUCAUUCUCCUGACAAAACUUGUGAACGGAAGUGUUGAGUGAGCACCUUGCUUCAGUCAACUUGCAAAUGACCGCCAUAGGUCAACAUUCAGAAGCAAAGAUAAUUUUCAAAGUCCUAAAAUUUCUUGUCCUUACUUUUACAAUACCAAUUUUGAGCUAUUAAUUAGAUUGAGUUCAGUUUUUGUCGUUUUCAUUAGGUAAAUAGGCACACAUAUUAAAUUCAAAGAAACCGAUAAAUUAGAAAAUCUUGUGGAGACUGAAUGGUACGCAUUUUCUUUUAAUAUUUACUCUAGAAAAUCCCAAACCCUAAAAGUAGUGCACUGCAUUUCAAUGGAGAUUAUGCAAAAUCGUCAGUUUUGGCUCACGUACAGAAUCGCACCGAAUUAUCGGAGCUGAUAGGGGAUCCUUCAAGGUGCCUGAAAAUGGUUGCUUUUGCUCUAAACCCUAGUGAACUCGAGAAACGGGAGAUGAAAUGAAAAUCUUUUAGUGCCCAUAACUUUAGAACGGAUUAAGUUUUUUUUUUAUUUAUUUUUUUUUUCAUUUUUCUGUAUUGAAAAAUAUUAAACGUUAACAGUCCUGUCUAAUCAAGUUUUAAAACUUGAAAGAAGGUUCAUUUUGAAUCAGUUAUACCUAUGGGGAUUUUUCGUCAGUGGACCUAAUUUUUUCCAGCUUUUUUUUAUUUUUUCUUGUCCUUUUUCAAUUUUUUUAGUUUCGAGCAUUGUAGUUAGAGUUACAAAAUUAUUUCUCCUAAAACAAGACCUCUCAAGCUUUAAAACGAACUCAAAAUUAUGCUGGGGAAAUGAUUUACGGUCGUUUAAAGUUGGCCCAGCGGUCCGUUAGAGAUUCUAGGCACAGUAGAACGCCCUAGGAUGUGGCUCAAAAUUUGUUUUGAGAGGGCGAAAAUUAAGGGGAAAAGAACAACCAUUUUUCGGCCUUUCUGGUAAUCCUCUAUCAGCCCUGAGAAGUAGGUGCAAUUCGGGGGGGGGGGGGGUAAAAAUAUGCCGAUUUCGCACACGGUCCGUUCUAAAUUUUUGCAGCUUAGUGGUGCAUGCUAAAAGGUUAGGUACUUUUGUUUCUCCCAUCCAGAUUUUAAAAAUUGCAUUUACAUUCUCAUUAUAUUACAAAUAGUAACUCGCCUGCCCAAACAGCCUGUCAUUUUAUAAACGCUUGAAGAAUACGCUCCCAAAAUGUCCAAAGCAAGAGGUCCUUACCAUAGAUUUUUACGUUGACUUUAUGUAAAAUUUACAUUAAUGAAAAAAAAUAGGCAUUAAAUUUGGUUCCAUUAAAAAUUGUUCAUUUGCAUCAAUGAGAAACACGAUGCGUCUACCUAAUGGUGCAAAACAAGUACAUAUUUACCUAAAAGUACGAAGCAAAGAAGAUUGGAAACAAAGAAGUUCAUUUUUGAAGCGUGUGAUAAUCUGAAAAAUCUUUGUACCCACCUUAUAGUCCUUAGGUACCACCAAUUGCAUGUGUACCGACUUUUGAGAAUGCUUCAUUGAUGUUGAGUAUACCCGCCGGGUUUGUUUGAAUUUGUCACGACCGUCUUACCGCAUAGGAUAUUUUGUGUGUAAAAAGAAGGGGGGUUAGAUAAUGCCUGAUAAAAAAGCUACCCGUAUUAAAUUUUUAAGCCUGAUACUAUACUUGACAAAGAAAACAAACCCUCGAUCCAAAAUAAUCAGGUUGAAUAUUUUUUUUCGGAAGUCAAAUUGG